Molecule: long non-coding RNA, 433 nt
Organism: Physeter macrocephalus (sperm whale)
Lineage: Eukaryota; Metazoa; Chordata; Mammalia; Artiodactyla; Physeteridae
Exons: 3
Source: RefSeq, a predicted model, not a curated record
AAAAAGAAGAUGGGGAAAGUGUUGGUGGUUGACCCUGGAGGAAUUCAAGCAGAGCAUGAUUUUUGCUGCAUGGAGAAGGAAGUUUGGUUUGGAUUUACAAGUCUCAGGAGAAAGGUAAAUGCCUUUUCCUGGGCCUCUGUUGAAGCAGCCAGGUGCCACUUCCUGGAGCUGUUGCUGGUCCCUAACAUAGCGACAGAGAGCAUCAGGAUACAGGACACCAAAGGACCUCACUGUUCCAGAGGAUGCAGCAGGAAAUAAGUCAAACCCAUGAAGAAGAGAAUAAUGAGACAAUGCAUGCAGAGCACUGGCCAGAAGCCUCGCCUUAGAGGAAGCACUCACGGAGAAUUUGCCCUGUAUGUUUAUUGGUGAUUAUGACUAAUUCCUGUCAAUGACGCAGGGGAGACCCAACACUGUAUACAAAUGGACACACCUA